Molecule: ribosomal RNA, 243 nt
Filed under: Chloropicon mariensis
Lineage: Eukaryota; Viridiplantae; Chlorophyta; Chloropicophyceae; Chloropicales; Chloropicaceae
Description: partial Bacterial small subunit ribosomal RNA
Rfam family: Bacterial small subunit ribosomal RNA
Source: RNAcentral
GUUUGAUCCUGGCUCAGCCUGAACGCUGGCGGCGUGGCUAAGACAUGCAAGUCGCACGGGGUAGCAAUACCCAGUGGCGAACGGGAGAGUAAUGAAUCGCUAACGUACCCCGGACUCUGGGAUAGCCGCCCGAAAGGGCGGGUAAUACCAGAUGACAUAACCGCUUCGCAUGGAGUGGUUCUCAAAGGUCCGCCGGUCUGGGAGCGGGCGAUUUCGUAUCAGCUAGUUGGUAGGGUAACGGCC